UCCUCAGAGUCCACCUGGCAGUGAGGCCACUCCAGCCCCAGGUCCAGAGGGUAACCACUGGAGCCUACUUCACACCCACCGUAGAGCCCUGUGUGAUCUGACGGCAGACUCCACAGUGUUGCCUCUCCGUGCGGUGGGCCCCCCAAUGGAGUGAACCCCCUGAAUCAGCCGUACCACUAUUGGCCUUUCGCCACAAGUGAUCUCUAUAACUGGAAAAUGCAGAAUCCUAAGUUCUCCAAAAAACCUACUGCCUUGAUUGACCUCUUAGACUUAAUUCUUUUACCCACCAGCCUACCUGGGAUGAUUGUCACCAACUAUUACAGUUUCUUUUCACCACUGAAGAAUGGAACCAUAUCUUGGCUGAGGCCAGGAAGGCUGUUGAGAAUGCAGACAGAAGCCCCACCACCAACCAGGCUCUCAUCAAUGCCGCUUUUCCUCUUACUCGCCCCAAUUGGGACUCUAAUACGGGAACAGGUCAGUUAAGACUCCAAGUCUACCACCAGACUCUAAUGAGGGGUCUCCGUAAAGUGGCUAGAAAGCUGACUAAUUUGGCCAAGGUAGGUAAUGUACCGCAGGAAAAGGCAGAAUCCCCAGCAGCUUUCUUAGAAAGAAUUAUGGAGGCAUUCCACAUGCACACACCCCUAGACCCUAAAGCUGAGGAGAAUAGAGCAGCAGUUGUCAUGUUCUUUGUUAAUCAGUCAGCUCCAGACAUUAAGCGCAAGCUGCAGAGAAUAGAUAGACUGGGCGAGAAGUCUUUGCAGGACCUCUUAGAAGUUGCUGAAAGAGUCUACAACAACCGUGAGACCCCCGAAGAAAAGCAAACGAAGGUGGCUAAAAGACAGACCCAAGAAUUAGCCAGGAUCCUCCUGGCCUCCACAGCCCCGACCUUGGACGAAAGAAACAGGUGGCUGCACUGACUGGUGGCAGGAGGUAAGGAGGGUUCCCCAGGCAGGGAAAGGCUCCACCACCAGGAUGAUCAGUGUACCUAUUGUAAGGAAUAUGGGCCUGGGACUGCCCCAAGAAACCACCUCCAGACCUUCAUGCCCCCCCUCAGUGCCAGUCUUGGAACUGAGCGAGCUUGAAUGGUAGGGGGGUCAGGGCUCACCACCCCUUCCCGAGCCCCAGGUAACUCUCAGAGUGGAGGGGACCCCAAUUAAUUUCCUGGUAGAUACUGGAGCCCAGCAUUCAGUCCUAACACAGGACCAUGGCCCUAUGGAUGCCAGGAAAUCAUGGGCCCAGGGGGCCAUGGGCAUCAAACAAUAUUCAUGGACUACCUGAAGAACUGUGGACUUAGGCGUGGGCUGGGUAUCCCAUGCAUUCAUGGUCAUUCCAGACUGCCCCUACCCUCUCUCCUUGGGCGAGACCUCCUAACUACGGUAGGGGCUUGUAUCAUCUUCAAAGAUGAAGGACCCCUUGUCACAGACCAGUGUGGGAGUCCCAUAUAAAUACUCAACCUUUAACUUGAAGAUGAGUACAGACUGCACCAGCAGCAGCCUGAGGGCCAUCAGUCAACAGAUGUCACUGUAUGGCUGAAAACCUACCCACUUGCCUGGGCUGAAACUGGAGGAGUGGGGCUAGCUGCCCACCGACCACCGGUCAUCUUAGAGCUCAAGCCAAUGGCUGAACCUGUAUGUGUAUGGCAGUAUCCCAUGUCUCAAGAGGUCUGGCGGGGCAGCACGCCUCAUAUCCAGAGGCUUCUUAAGAGCAGGAUACUAGUGCCCUUUCAAUCUGCAUGGAACACUCCCCUGUUGCCUUUAAAAAAGCCACUGACUAAGCACUGACCUAAGAGAGGUCAAGAAGCGAGUAUUAGACAUCCACCCCACUGUCCCAAACCCUUAUACCCUAUUAAGUGCUCUCACCCCUGAUCGAGUAUGGUACACUGUUCUCGACUUAAAAGAUGCCUUCUUCAGCCUCCUGCUAGCCCCCCAGAGCCAGGCAAUGUUGGCCUUUGAGUGGAAUGAUGAAGAGCAAGGGAUCCAUGGUCAACUUACCUGGACCCGGCUGCCACAAGGGUUCAAGAACUCCCCCACCAUCUUCAAUGAAUCUUUACAUGAAGACCUGAGUGAGUACCGGCAGCAACACCCUCACCUGACUCUUUUACAGUAUGUAAAUGACAUUCUGAUCACAGCCGAGACAGAAGCAGAAUGCCACCAAGGCACCCAGGACUUGCUGACUGCACUAGGAGCUCUGGGGUACUGAGCCUCUGCCAAGAAGGCUCAGAUUUGUCAACAAACUAUGAGUUAUCUGGGGUACAUCCUUAAGGAUAGGCAGCAGUGGCUGUCCUAGGCAAGAAAAAAACAGUUCUGAAUAUCCUCCCCAAACCCCCUCCCCCCCGACCACAGCGAGGGGUGCGGGAGUUCCUUGGGUCAGCCAGGUUCUGCCGUCUGUGGAUUCCAGGGUUCAUGGAGAUAGCAAAGCCCCUCUAUGAAGCCACCCAGGAUAGCCUGCCUUUCCAGUGGAGCAUAGAACAAGAAAGAGCCUGAAAUGAGCCUUGCUCUCCCCCUGGCCCUAGGACUCCCAGAUAUUACCAAGCCCUUUCAUCUGUAUGUAGAUGAGCGCAAAGGCAUAGCAAAAGGGGUGCUUGCUCAAUCGCUUGGUCCCUGGACCCGGCCCGUUGCCUACCUGCCAAAGAAACAAGACCCUGUAGCGGCAGGCUGGCCCCCAUGCCUAUGCAUCAUUGCAGCUACUGCAUUGCUGGUUAAAGAUGCAGAUAAAUUAACUUAAGGGCAAGAACUAUUAAUCAUGACCCCUCACGCCAUUGAGGGAGUCCUCAAACAGCCACCAGAUCGGUGGGUUAGCAGUGCCCGACUUGCCCACUACCAGGGCCUUCUGCUGAACCCUCCACAAAUCCGAUUCCUCCAAAGAUCUUUCUCAAUCCGGCAACCCCACUGCUGAAUUCGGACCUAGAUGCCCCCCUCCAUGACUGUGUUAACAUCCUAGCCCAGGUUCACAGCGUACGCCAGGACCUUACGGACCAGCCCCUCCCUGACACGGCGGCCACCUGGUACACAGAUGGGAGCAGCUUCAUACAACAUGGAUGCAGAUACAUUCUCAGGAUGGGUAGAAGCAUUUCUGACCAGAAAUGAGACUGCGCAGAUAAUGCAGUGUCUAGCAGAAGCCUUGGGGACUAAUUGGAAAUUGCAUUGUGCCUCUUGACCCCAAAGUUCAGGACAGGCACAACAAGCUGAUUGGGAGAGGCUUAUAGCCCUCUACAGCUCAGGACCUGUCCCUGAACCACACGUUUUCCAGCCUAGAGACUGGGUGUACGUGAAACGUCACCGACAAGAAACGCUGGAGCCCUGGUGGAAGGGCCCAUACACUAGUCCUCGUUACUCCCACCGCACUCAAGGUUGACAGCAUCACCUUCUGGAUACAUUACAUGCAUGUUCACCUCGUGGACCAGUUCACCAUCAAGGAAGACUCCACCCACCAGUGAAAUUCCGACGGGACCCUAAUAACCCACUGAGACUCAAACUGCAGAAAUGCCAGGAUCCCUGAUGCCACCGUAUGUGUACCACUUACUGACUUAUUCUGCCUUGCUGAUUAUACCCCUCACUGCUAACCCUCAUUGCUCCAUUAGGAUAACGUGGCCAGUCACUGAUGCUAGCACAGGGAUGGUGCUCAACCAGACCUCUGGAGUUCACCCUAAGGGUACUUGGUUCCCAGAGCUCUUAGUCGACCUAUAUGAUCUGGUAGGAAUUAGACCCUGCCCCUCAGGGUGGCAGUCAUAUUGGUCCAGAAAUGCUCCAACCAAGUACUUUUAUGUCUGCUCUGAUCACCUUCCUAAUAAAUGUGGAGGAGCAAGUUUAUAUUUCUGUAACUCAUGGGACUGUGUUUCCACCGGGCAAUUAUGGUGGAACCCCCCAAGACAAGGAGACUUCAUCCAAGUAAAGAGGAAGGGUGUUUGGAGAGGGCAUACCUGUGUAGGAGGCCCCAAACCUGACACAGUUAGUAUCACCUUUAUGGAAAAAGGAAAGUGAAUGCUGGAUUGGGAACUCGGCAGAUGGUGGGGCGUGAGACUGUACAAUGCGCACAGCACAGACCCGGGUAAUGUUUUCCAACUCAAAAUCUUAUACACCCCUGUUAAUAAUAAGCCUGCUGUAGUAGGCUCUAAUAUAGUGCUUAAGCCUCCCCCUGCAGUCACCCCUAAACUCCGUGACUCCCCUGACUCCCCCGACCAAGCAUUCAGUACCCAAAGUCUGAUUCUAAACCCCACACCUGCGCCUACCACAGAUCCCUAUCCACUUUGGAAAUUAGUCAUUGCUACAUAUCGAGUCUUAAAUACUUCCAGACCAGACCUUACUAAGUCCUGUUGGUUAUGUGUAGAAGCCAGACCCCCAUACUAUGAGGGAAUUGUCCUAAUAAGCAAACCUAAGAUCAGCUCCCAGGCUAGUGACUGCCGUUGGCAACAGUCUAAGCCCCUAGUAACCCUACAGUCCAUUAUAGGACAAGGAACCUGUAUAGGUCAGACACCCGCCCCCCCCAAUACCAACAUCUAUGUACUCAAAUUCUCACCUGGGAUGGGACUGGAUAUAUAAUUCCCACCAACAAUUCCUGGUGGGCUUGCUCAACAGGGCUCACCCCAUGUCUACAUGGAGCAGUCCUUGAUUUAACCUGGGGCUUUUGUGUCUUAGUGCAGCUCAUCCCCAAGCUGAUCUAUCACUCAGAGGAGGACUUAUCUUAGGCCUAUGAGUCAGCUGCAGGCACACUUACAAGAACCAAGAGAGAACCAGUCACAGCAAUAACUCUAGCCAUGCUCAUGAGACUAAGUAUAGCAGGAGCAGGCACAGGAAUCUCCUCCUUAGUCCUACAAGACAAGAACUACAGAGCUCUGCAUGCUGCAAUAGACUUAGACAUAGAAAGAAUAGAAAACUCCAUUUCCCACCUUCAUAAGUCCCUAACUUCCCUCUCUGAAGUAGUACUCCAAAAUAGGCGGGGACUAGACUUACUGUUCCUUCAGCAAGGUGGAUUAUGUGUAGCCCUAGGAGAAGAAUGCUGUUUUUAUACUUACUACUCAGGAGUAAUCAAACAGUCCAUGGAGUUAGUGAGAAAAGGUCUCCGCAAAAGAAAACUCGAGCGGGAACAGUCUCAGAGCUGGUAUGAAUCUUUGUUCAGCAAGUUACCCUGGCUCACAACUAAUUUCAACCAUAGUGGGCCCACUUAUAAUCCUAUAACUGCUAUUAACUUUCGGCCCCUGCAUAAUUAAUACAUUACUGGCUUUCAUCUGAGCUAGAAUUAAUACUGUUCAAUUGAUGGUCUUACGGGCACAGUAUACCCACUUCAGCACUGAACGCACCAGCAAUGGCAUAGAGCUAGGGCUGGUAAAAAGCACUGAAGACCCAUGAUUGGAUCUUCUAGCCACAAGAAAAGGGGGAAUGUAAAGACCAAGUUAACUCCAUUUUGUUAAAACUAACUUCAUCUUGUCCCUCAGCCUUCAUUUUGCAUCUGCAUACCAAAGGCACUAGGCAACCUGCUUCCUCUCUCGGCUCCCCGUCCUUGCUCAAUGAUCUGCGCCCUUGCACAACAUCCGCUCCAAGUGAUAGCAACACUCUGCCAGACAGCCAAGGAAAAGUACUGCUCAGUCCCCUAGACCCCCUAUCAGCUCACCCCAGUGGUUCACCUCACACCCCCUCCCCUUUUUUUCCUUUCUGUACCCUUUAAAACCUCCUCCUUUUCGAGAUCAGGGCUUCUCUGCUCUCCUGCUGCACCAGGACCAGGAAGCCCCAGGCUCAAGCUUGUAAAUAAACAACCUCUUGCUUUUGCAUCUGACUUUGUCUCCAGGUAAUUUAUGUGAGGGAUCCCGCGACUUGGGCACAACAGAAGGAACAACAAUUAGUAGUUGUGAGUAAAGUCUGACAGAAAUCAUUGCAAGAAAAGGAGCAAUGAUCCUGUGAAAGAGUGGCCACCAAAACACUGGAUCACACAGAGUAAGGAGCAAGAUUCUGUGGAUUCCCAGGGAAGGAUUUUAGUUAUCACAAGUGAAAUGUUUAUUGAGCACAUUGUCAGGUAAAUCUUGCCUUUUGCUAGUUUCUGAUUCAGGUCUACUUUGCUUUACACGGUUGAAAAUUUUCUGAAACUUUACAAGUGAAAUUUUAUAAAACAAGCUAUAAUAAUGUGGUGGGUGGGGAGAACAUUUGAAGAAUGAACAAGGAAGCCAAAUGUGUAGAAAAUUUUGAAAUAGAAAUAUUGCCUCCUUGCUCCCUGGCUUCUUGGUUUUGGAGGUGAGCAUUUUGUGUGUAGGUUUUCAUUCAAGAAUAAUGCACCUCCUCCUUUUGAUACAGGACAGGUGGCGUGGUGGUACCCCAGCCAGCUUAGCAGAGCUGAGCUGGAAGACCUGUCACCUCCGCCUUGGCCGUUUUGGUGUGGUAGCAGCCAGAAGAGGAACCAGAGAGCUGGAGGGUAGGCAAGGGUGGGGGGGCCUCCCACCCCCACCAGACGCUGCAAUAGUCAAAGGAGCGGAACAAUUGGUGGGGAGACACUGGCCGCCUCCGUGUCUCCUUCCCUUUACACUUAUGACUGAAUACAGAACCCCCAUUUCCUAUGCCUAGGUCAAUUUCAUGUAAGUUUCCUAGGCCUCAAUUCCGUGAGUGGACUGUGUCCAUUCAUUAAACCAUUCAUUCACCAUGCCCCAGCUGAAGACUGUGUCCAUUCAUUAAUACAUUAAUUCACCUUUACCCAGCGGAAGACUGUGCCCAUUCAUUUCCUGGCCAAGGAACCCAUGCACUUAUGUAUACCACUAGACUAAGAGAGACAGAAGAGAGAGACAAAGAGAGCUUUUCUCCCUGACUUGGGUUUUCUCUCCGGGAGCUUUAGUGUUUUCGUAUUUUUUUUUUUAGCUUUUUUUUUUUUUUAAAUUAAAUUAUAGCUGUGUACAUUAAUGCGAUCAUGGGGCACCAUACACUGGUUUUAUGGACCGUUUGACACAUUUUCAUCACACUGGUUAACAUAGCCUUCCUGGCAUUUUCUUGGUUAUUGUGUUAAGACAUUUACAUUCUACAUUUACUAAGUUUCACAUACACCCUUGUAAGAUGCACCACAAGGGUGAAGGUGUAAUCCCACUAAUCACCCUCCCUCCGCCCAUCCUCUCCCCUCCAUAUCGUAU
This is a long non-coding RNA of Nycticebus coucang (slow loris), 7102 nucleotides long. RefSeq lists it as uncharacterized. NCBI's taxonomy places the organism in Eukaryota, Metazoa, Chordata, Mammalia, Primates, Lorisidae. The transcript has 4 exons. The record is from RefSeq and is a predicted model, not a curated record.